Molecule: non-coding RNA, 74 nt
Organism: Paramarasmius palmivorus
Lineage: Eukaryota; Fungi; Basidiomycota; Agaricomycetes; Agaricales; Marasmiaceae
Source: the annotation of a GenBank genome assembly
UCCGUUAUGGUGUAGUAGCCAUCAUGCGCAGUUACCGACCGCGAACGCCAAGGGUUCAGUUCCCUGGGACGGAA